GAAAUGCGAUAAGUAGUGUGAAUUGCAGAAUUCAGUGAAUCAUCGAAUCUUUGAACGCACAUUGCGCCCCUUGGUAUUCCAUGGGGCAUGCCUGUUCGAGCGUCAUCUACACCCUCAAGCUCUGCUUGGUGUUGGGCGUCUGUCCCGCCUCUGCGCGCGGGCUCGCCCCAAAUUCAUUGGCAGCGGUCCUUGCCUCCUCUCGCGCAGCACAUUGCGCUUCUCGAGGUGCGCGGCCCGCGUCCACGAAGCAACAUUACCGUCUUUGACCUCGGAUCAGGUAGGGAUACCCGCUGAACUUAA
This 300-nucleotide ribosomal RNA is filed under the name uncultured fungus. RNAcentral's name for it is "eukaryotic LSU rRNA". The stretch from base 1 to 105 matches the Rfam family "5.8S ribosomal RNA", at positions 50 to 154 of the family's 154-position model. The record is from RNAcentral. Lineage: Eukaryota; Fungi.